ACUGGCCACUAAAAGCUUCAAAAGAGAUUUUAAUAUUUUAUCUUUCCCUCACUUUUUUUUCACACUAGCUAUUCCCUCCAAUUUCCCAAAAUAACAAAAUUAAGUUUGAAAAUUUUGGGAAUACUUUACAAAGGCUCGGCUUGUCUCACCCCUGCCGCUGAAAUCACCACCGCCGCUGCAACUCAUUUCUAUCUUACCGUCAGCCACCAAAUCCGGGAAGGAAUAUUACGGCACCAUGCGGCCCUUAAGGCUCGAUCUAUCAUAGGCAGAUGUAUCUAGAGUUUUAGACUGGCAUAUUCUCUCGUUAGCAAGGCCAAUUAUGAAAUUGUCUCCAAAAAAGGUCAUAUACUUUGAAUUUCAAAGACAUGGCAUGUAGAAGUUAUUGUGAUCAAGAGUUGGGAGAUUCUGCCCAAUGUAGCUUACUAUCGAGCUUAUAGCUACUUGACAAACAAUUAAUUAGUAGUUAUUAGAUUCAAAUUGUUUAACAUUUCGUUAUGUUAUUUACACUCUCAAAUUAUGGAUUAAUAAAGUGCAUUGAGCUUUUUGAAGUGAA
Molecule: long non-coding RNA, 553 nt
Organism: Nicotiana attenuata
Lineage: Eukaryota; Viridiplantae; Streptophyta; Magnoliopsida; Solanales; Solanaceae
Exons: 3
Source: RefSeq, a predicted model, not a curated record